UACGUAGGGCGCAAGCGUUGUCCGGAAUUAUUGGGCGUAAAGAGCUCGUAGGCGGUCUGUCGCGUCCGUUGUGAAAACUCGAGGCUCAACCUCGGGCUUGCAGUGGAUACGGGCAGACUAGAGUGCGGUAGGGGAGACUGGAAUUCCUGGUGUAGCGGUGAAAUGCGUAGAUAUCUGGAGGAACACCGGUGGCGAAGGCGGCAUCCUGGACCGAUAUUGACGCUGAUGCGCGAAAGCCAGGGGAGCAAACGGGG
Molecule: ribosomal RNA, 254 nt
Filed under: uncultured bacterium
Lineage: Bacteria
Description: partial 16S ribosomal RNA
Rfam family: Bacterial small subunit ribosomal RNA
Source: RNAcentral